This 253-nucleotide ribosomal RNA is filed under the name uncultured bacterium. RNAcentral describes it as "partial 16S ribosomal RNA". It matches the Rfam family "Bacterial small subunit ribosomal RNA", at positions 524 to 776 of the family's 1533-position model. The record is from RNAcentral.
UACGUAGGAGGCGAGCGUUGUCCGGAAUCACUGGGCGUAAAGCGCGUGUAGGCGGGAAGGCAAGUCGGGUGUGAAAGCCCUCAGCUCAACUGAGGAAGUGCGCCCGAAACUGCUGAGCUUGAGUACCGGAGAGGAUGGUGGAAUUCCCGAAGUAGAGGUGAAAUUCGUAGAUAUCGGGAGGAGCACCGGUGGCGAAGGCGACCAUCUGGACGGAUACUGACGCUGAGACGCGAAAGCGUGGGUAGCAAACAGG